RNAcentral lists this ribosomal RNA (620 nucleotides) under uncultured Gammaproteobacteria bacterium. RNAcentral's name for it is "bacterial SSU rRNA". It matches the Rfam family "Bacterial small subunit ribosomal RNA", at positions 8 to 626 of the family's 1533-position model. The record is from RNAcentral. Lineage: Bacteria; Pseudomonadati; Pseudomonadota; Gammaproteobacteria.
AGAGUUUGAUCCUGGCUCAGAUUGAACGCUGGCGGCAGGCCUAACACAUGCAAGUCGAGCGAGAAAGCACUUCGGUGUGAGUACAGCGGCGGACGGGUGAGUAACGCGUAGGAAUCUACCCAGUAGUGGGGGACAACAGUCGGAAACAGCUGCUAAUACCGCAUACGCCCUAUGGGGGAAAGCAGGGGAUCCUCGGACCUUGCGCUAUUGGAUGAGCCUGCGUCGGAUUAGCUAGUUGGUGGGGUAAAGGCCUACCAAGGCGACGAUCCGUAGCUGGUCUGAGAGGAUGAUCAGCCACACUGGGACUGAGACACGGCCCAGACUCCUACGGGAGGCAGCAGUGGGGAAUAUUGCACAAUGGGCGCAAGCCUGAUGCAGCCAUGCCGCGUGUGUGAAGAAGGCCCUAGGGUUGUAAAGCACUUUCAAUAGUGAGGAAAAGCUGAUGCUUAAUACGUAUCAGCCGUGACGUUAACUAUAGAAGAAGCACCGGCUAACUCCGUGCCAGCAGCCGCGGUAAUACGGAGGGUGCGAGCGUUAAUCGGAAUUACUGGGCGUAAAGCGCGCGUAGGCGGUUGUUUAAGUCAGCUGUGAAAGCCCCGGGCUUAACCUGGGAAUUGCAG